GCGCUCGAGAGAUUCAUGGCUAAGGAACUAGGCAAAAUAGACCUGUAACUUCGGGAGAAAGGUCGCCAGCGCAAGCUGGCCGCAGUGAAAAGGUCCAGGCGACUGUUUAUCAAAAACACAGGGCUCUGCAAAAUCGUAAGAUGACGUAUAGGGCCUGACACCUGCCCGGUGCUGGAAGGUUAAGAGGAGAUGUUAUCUUCGGAGAAGCAUUGAAUUGAAGCCCCAGUAAACGGCGGCCGUAACUAUAACGGUCCUAAGGUAGCGAAAUUCCUUGUCGGGUAAGUUCCGACCCGCACGAAAGGUGUAACGAUUUGGGCACUGUCUCAACCAGAGACUCGGUGAAAUUAUAGUACCUGUGAAGAUGCAGGUUACCCGCGACAGGACGGAAAGACCCCGUGGAGCUUUACUGUAGCCUGAUAUUGAAUUUUGGUACAGUUUGUACAGGAUAGGCGGGAGCCAUUGAAACCGGAGCGCUAGCUUCGGUGGAGGCGCUGGUGGGAUACCGCCCUGACUGUAUUGAAAUUCUAACCUACGGGUCUUAUCGACCCGGGAGACAGUGUCAGGUGGGCAGUUUGACUGGGGCGGUCGCCUCCUAAAGUGUAACGGAGGCGCCCAAAGGUUCCCUCAGAAUGGUUGGAAAUCAUUCGUAGAGUGCAAAGGCAUAAGGGAGCUUGACUGCGAGACCUACAAGUCGAGCAGGGACGAAAGUCGGGCUUAGUGAUCCGGUGGUUCCGCAUGGAAGGGCCAUCGCUCAACGGAUAAAAGCUACCCCGGGGAUAACAGGCUUAUCUCCCCCAAGAGUCCACAUCGACGGGGAGGUUUGGCACCUCGAUGUCGGCUCAUCGCAUCCUGGGGCUGUAGUCGGUCCCAAGGGUUGGGCUGUUCGCCCAUUAAAGCGGUACGCGAGCUGGGUUCAGAACGUCGUGAGACAGUUCGGUCCCUAUCCGUCGUGGGCGUAGGAAAUUUGAGAGGAGCUGAUGGGCUGUUCGCCCAUUAAAGCGGUACGCGAGCUGGGUUCAGAACGUCGUGAGACAGUUCGGUCCCUAUCCGUCGUGGGCGUAGGAAAUUUGAGAGGAGCUGUCCUUAGUACGAGAGGACCGGGAUGGACGCACCGCUGGUGUACCAGUUGUUCUGCCAAGGGCAUAGCUGGGUAGCUAUGUGCGGAAGGGAUAAGUGCUGAAAGCAUCUAAGCAUGAAGCCACCGCUGGUGUACCAGUUGUUCUGCCAAGGGCAUAGCUGGGUAGCUAUGUGCGGAAGGGAUAAGUGCUGAAAGCAUCUAAGCAUGAAGCCCCCCUCAAGAUGAGAUUUCCCAUAGCGUAAGCUAGUAAGAUCCCUGAAAGAUGAUCAGGUUGAUAGGUUCGAGGUGGAAGCAUGGUGACAUGUGGAGCUGACGAAUACUAAUAGAUCGAGGACUUAACCAUAUA
Molecule: ribosomal RNA, 1424 nt
Filed under: Bacillus thuringiensis Sbt003
Lineage: Bacteria; Bacillati; Bacillota; Bacilli; Caryophanales; Bacillaceae
Description: bacterial LSU rRNA
Rfam family: Bacterial large subunit ribosomal RNA
Source: RNAcentral